GAUGAACGCUGGCGGCGUGCCUAAUACAUGCAAGUCGAACGAACGGACGAUGAGCUUGCUUCUCUGAUGUUAGCGGAAGACGGGUGAGUAACACGUGGAUAACCUACUUAUAAUACUGGGAUAACUUCGGGAAACCGGCGCUAAUACGGUAUAAUAUUUUGAACCGCAUGGUUCAAAAGUGAAAGACGGUCUUGCUGUCACUUAUAGAUGGAUUCGCGCUGCAUUAGCUAGUUGGUAGGGUAAGGGCUUACCAAGGCAACGAUGGAUAGCCGACCUUAGAGGGUGAACGGCCACAAUGGGACUGAGAUACGGAGCAGUCUCCUAUGUGACGCAGCAGGGGGGAGUAUUGCGCAAUGGGCGGGAGCCUGAGGCGGCAGCCUUCCGUGCGUGAUGACCUCUUUCGGGUUGUAAACCGCUUUCGCCUGUGACGAAGAGUGAGUGACGGUAAUGGGUAAAGAAGCACCGGCUAACUACGUG
RNAcentral lists this ribosomal RNA (477 nucleotides) under uncultured bacterium. RNAcentral's name for it is "partial 16S ribosomal RNA". It matches the Rfam family "Bacterial small subunit ribosomal RNA", at positions 28 to 507 of the family's 1533-position model. The record is from RNAcentral.